Molecule: ribosomal RNA, 301 nt
Filed under: uncultured bacterium
Lineage: Bacteria
Description: partial 16S ribosomal RNA
Rfam family: Bacterial small subunit ribosomal RNA
Source: RNAcentral
CAGCGCCGCGGGAAAACGUAGGUGGCAAGCGUUGUCCGGAAUUAUUGGGCGUAAAGGGCUCGCAGGCGGUUUCUUAAGUCUGAUGUGAAAGCCCCCGGCUCAACCGGGGAGGGUCAUUGGAAACUGGGAAACUUGAGUGCAGAAGAGGAGAGUGGAAUUCCACGUGUAGUGGUGAAAUGCGUAGAGAUGUGGAGGAACACCAGUGGCGAAGGCGACUCUCUGGUCUGUAACUGACGCUGAGGAGCGAAAGCGUGGGGAGCGAACAGGAUUAGAUACCCCAGUAGUCCCUGUCUCUUAUACA